AAUAGAUACCCGGGUAGUCCACGCCGUAAACGAUGAGUGCUAAGUGUUGGAGGGUUUCCGCCCUUCAGUGCUGCAGCUAACGCAUUAAGCACUCCGCCUGGGGAGUACGGUCGCAAGACUGAAACUCAAAGGAAUUGACGGGGGCCCGCACAAGCGGUGGAGCAUGUGGUUUAAUUCGAAGCAACGCGAAGAACCUUACCAGGUCUUGACAUCUCCUGACCGCCCUGGAGACAGGGUCUUCCCUUCGGGGACAGGAUGACAGGUGGUGCAUGGUUGUCGUCAGCUCGUGUCGUGAGAUGUUGGGUUAAGUCCCGCAACGAGCGCAACCCUUGGUUCUAGUUGCCAGCAUUCAGUUGGGCACUCUAGAGCGACUGCCGGCGACAAGUCGGAGGAAGGUGGGGAUGACGUCAAAUCAUCAUGCCCCUUAUGACCUGGGCUACACACGUGCUACAAUGGAUGGUACAAAGGGCAGCGAAGCGGCGACGCAUGAGCGAAUCCCAGAAAACCAUUCUCAGUUCGGAGUU
This 524-nucleotide ribosomal RNA is filed under the name uncultured bacterium. RNAcentral's name for it is "bacterial SSU rRNA". It matches the Rfam family "Bacterial small subunit ribosomal RNA", at positions 777 to 1300 of the family's 1533-position model. The record is from RNAcentral.